Molecule: ribosomal RNA, 252 nt
Filed under: uncultured bacterium
Lineage: Bacteria
Description: partial 16S ribosomal RNA
Rfam family: Bacterial small subunit ribosomal RNA
Source: RNAcentral
UACGUAGAUCCCGAGCGGUGUCCGGAUUUAUUGGGCGUAAAGCGAGCGCAGGUGGUUUAUUAAGUCUGGUGUAAAAGGCAGUGGCUCAACCAUUGUAUGCAUUGGAAACUGGUAGACUUGAGUGCAGGAGAGGAGAGUGGAAUUCCAUGUGUAGCGGUGAAAUGCGUAGAUAUAUGGAGGAACACCGGUGGCGAAAGCGGCUCUCUGGCCUGUAACUGACACUGAGGCUCGAAAGCGUGGGGAGCAAACAGG